UACGUAGGGGGCUAGCGUUGUCCGGAUUUAUUGGGCGUAAAGAGCGUGUAGGCGGCCUGGUAGGUCUGCUGUGAAAACUCGAGGCUCAACCUCGAGAUGUCGGCGGAAACCAUCUGGCUAGAGUCCGGAAGAGGGGAGUGGAAUUCCUGGUGUAGCGGUGAAAUGCGCAGAUAUCAGGAAGAACACCUAUGGCGAAGGCAGCUCUCUGGGACGGUACUGACGCUGAGACGCGAAAGCGUGGGGAGCGAACAGG
Molecule: ribosomal RNA, 253 nt
Filed under: uncultured bacterium
Lineage: Bacteria
Description: partial 16S ribosomal RNA
Rfam family: Bacterial small subunit ribosomal RNA
Source: RNAcentral